GGUCGCUUAACUCAGUUGGUUAGAGUGUCGUACUAAUAUCAUAAGAGAUUAUAUAUUAGCAAUGCGAAAGUCAUGAGUUCGACCCUCAUAGUGACCA
This is a transfer RNA of 97 nucleotides. It matches the Rfam family "tRNA". Rfam says of the family: Transfer RNA (tRNA) molecules are approximately 80 nucleotides in length. The record is from Rfam.